Molecule: ribosomal RNA, 513 nt
Filed under: uncultured bacterium
Lineage: Bacteria
Description: partial 16S ribosomal RNA
Rfam family: Bacterial small subunit ribosomal RNA
Source: RNAcentral
GAUGAACGCUGGCGGCGUGCCUAAUACAUGCAAGUCGAACGCACAGCGAAAGGUGCUUGCACCUUUCAAGUGAGUGGCGAACGGGUGAGUAACACGUGGACAACCUGCCUCAAGGCUGGGGAUAACAUUUGGAAACAGAUGCUAAUACCGAAUAAAACUCGGUGUCGCAUGACACAAAGUUAAAAGGCGCUUUGGCGUCACCUAGAGAUGGAUCCGCGGUGCAUUAGUCAGUUGGUGGGGUAAAGGCCUACCAAGACAAUGAUGCAUAGCCGAGUUGAGAGACUGAUCGGCCACAUUGGGACUGAGACACGGCCCAAACUCCUACGGGAGGCUGCAGUAGGGAAUCUUCCACAAUGGGCGAAAGCCUGAUGGAGCAACGCCGCGUGUGUGAUGAAGGCUUUCGGGUCGUAAAGCACUGUUGUAUGGGAAGAACAGCUAGAAUAGGGAAUGAUUUUAGUUUGACGGUACCAUACCAGAAAGGGACGGCUAAAUACGUGCCAGCAGCCGCCGUAA